GAUGAACGCUGGCGGCGUGCCUAAUACAUGCAAGUCGAGCGAACAGAUGAGGAGCUUGCUCCUCUGACGUUAGCGGCGGACGGGUGAGUAACACGUGGAUAACCUACCUAUAAGACUGGGAUAACUUCGGGAAACCGGAUCUAAUACCGGAUCAUAUAUUGAACCGCAUGGUUCAAUAGUGAAACACGGUUUUGCCGUCACUUAUAGAUGGAUCCGCGCCGCAUUAGCUAGUUGGUAAGGUAACGGCUUACCAAGGCAACGAUGCGUAGCCGACCUGAGAGGAUGAUCAGCCACACUGGAACUGAGACACGGUCCAGACUCCUACGGGAGGCAGCAGUAGGGAAUCUUGCGCAAUGGGCGAAAGCCUGACGGAGCAACGCCGCGUGAGUGAUGAAGGUCUUCGGAUCGUAAAGCUCUGUUAUUGGGGAAGAAAAAAUGUGUAUGUAACUAUGCACGUCUUGACGGUACCUAAACAGAAAGCAACGGCUAACUUCGUG
RNAcentral lists this ribosomal RNA (497 nucleotides) under uncultured bacterium. Its description in RNAcentral is "partial 16S ribosomal RNA". It matches the Rfam family "Bacterial small subunit ribosomal RNA", at positions 28 to 507 of the family's 1533-position model. The record is from RNAcentral.